RNAcentral lists this long non-coding RNA (727 nucleotides) under Mytilus galloprovincialis (Mediterranean mussel). Lineage: Eukaryota; Metazoa; Mollusca; Bivalvia; Mytilida; Mytilidae. The record is from RNAcentral.
CUAAAACGUCAUAAAAAUGUGGAAUAAAAACUAAUUUCAUUCCACUUUCAGAUAUAUUGAAGAUGUCUUGUCACUUACAUUUCAGUGAGUGCUUGUAUCGGAUAUAUCACAUUGAACACAGAGAUAUGAAUACUACCGCAUAACAUGAUGGUUUGGUUCGGAUAUAUCACGUUGAAUUUAAAAAUAAGGAUACUACCGCACACAAUGAUGACGGUACUCUUUGUUAACUAUUAUUCGUGUGUUUCUCUGUUCUAUAUCUUCUCCUAUUUAUUUGUGUUGUAGUCCUGUCAUGUUGUCAUUUAACAUUGCAAUAAUAGCGGGAGGUUUGGCAUGCCACAAAACCAGGUUCAACCAACCAUUUUUUUCUUGAAAUGUUCUGUACCAAGUCAGGAUAAUUGCCAUCGUUAUAUUAUAGUUCAUUUCUGUGUGUGUUACAGUUUAAUGUUGUGUUUUUGUUGUGUCGUAGUUCUUCUCUUAUACUUGAUGUGUUUCCCUCAGUUUUAGUUUGUAACCCGGAUUUGGUUUUUUUUUUCUCAAUCGAUUUAUGAAUUUCGAACAGCGGUAUACUGUUGUUGCCUUUAUUUGUAAAAUUACCGCACACCGUUAAAAAGAAACGUUCCUAGAACGUUAACAUGUAACGUUUCAUUUUAGCGUACUCACAACGUUCGUGUAACGUUAUGAUCCGCAAUAACCUAACAGGAACCAAUCCACAACGUUCAUUGAACAU